ACAAAAGGCAGUCUCCCUGUAGCAGAAGGAUAAAAUGAUAUGGUUUGAAAAUACCUUGUCACUGCUUUCCUCCUCCCUUCGCACAGAUCAACAUGCUUGGGCGUGGAGCACAUCGUUUUUCUGGAAUAUUUUGAGCAAGCCUGGAUGCAGCUGCAGAAGCUUCAGUUUAACAGAUUAUUGUUGCCAUUGCUGUGAUUCUUAGAUGUAAUACACUGAUUUUGCACUCCCCACAUAUAAUCGAACUCUUACAAGUCUAGAAAAGGAGCUGUUGGACAGAAAGACUUCAACUGAGUGGUGGUGCUCAGGGCUGUCUAGACUGACAAGAGGGACAUUGAAUGUCAUCUCUCCGCUGGGUAGGGAGCCUGAACUAGUGUGUGUGGUUGAGAGAUACUCAGUUGUUAGCUGAGUUUUCUACUAAUCUCCAGCUGGGGGUGAGUUGGACCAGGUGGCAGGGGAGCAUGAUGGACAGACCUAGAACCCGACAGCAUUCUAAGGGAGGCUGGAGACAUUAGUCGGAAAAGACAAUGUUGAGGCUACAGCAAGAUGGUUGGUGGCUGUGUUGGUGGUAAUCACCAUUAAGCUGAAGAGCGGUCCUGUUGGACUUGGUUAGCCAUGAGGUGGUGGCCUCAGGCACUCACAGCGUUUCAUAGCUGAGUGUGGAGUGGCAAGAAUGAGAUUUACCAAAUCUGUGGCCACGGUCCUCAGCUGGAAAAGGGUGGAGUGCCCACUCUGCAUCAGGGAUAAGUUGCUGCCCCACAAGGAGGCAGCUGCAGUGAAGAUAUCAGUCCUUCGUGAUGAAGAGUCAUUCAAGAGGGGCUCAGAGUAGAGCUGCUACUCGUCCACAUCGAAAGGAGCCAGUUUGGGCAUCUGAGAAGGAUGCCUCCAUGGUGAGGUGUUCUGGGCAUGCCCCAGGACUGGGACAUGAUGGAAUCCCCCUGUUUAAGCUGGAAGAGGUGGUCGGGCAGAGGGAGGUCUGGGAUUCUCUGUGGAUAAGUUUAUAUCAAAUUUAGUAGUUUCUGGUAAUAGUGUAAUAAUGCAGACAGAUUGUCUAAUUUGACAUAUAUUUUAUAGCAAAUUUAGAAAAAAAUGUUUAGGAAAGCAAAGAUGUUGAUGUUCUAAAGAAUAAGAUUGUUUUCAUGCAGGACACAGGAGCCCUGACUAACCCGUCACCAAACCGGUCAGGUCAAAGUUACAGGCAGCAUAAUGUUCUUCACUGCUUCUGCAGACCCUUUAACGUCUGUAACAUGUAUUCAGGGUGAACCUGCUCUUAUCUGUAAAAAGCUCCAAUUCUGCUAUCCUAUGGGGAUUAUUGGAUGACAGUCAUUCACACCAGUGUCCUGCUGGAGGUCAUUUGCAGCUCUGACAGUGUUCAGCAUUCAACACAGUCUCAUGACAGUUUGUGAAACAGCGAUGAGACAUGUAAUAAAUAUACUGAUGCAUUUCUGAAUGCAGAUUUUCCAGUCUUUUUGUUCUCAGAAAUUUAAAUUUGAAAAGGGUAUUUCUCUUAAUGUCUUUGUAUUAUUUUUUAAUUAAAUUAUCGGUCACUGCGUUCUGUAUGUCAGCAUGGUAGAUUUCUUUAGAUUCCUAAAUCCAGAAUAAAAGUCCCUUGGCAUACAUGCUACAAGCACAUCUGCCAAAGUUGUUUUAAGUUCACUAAAAAAAAUCCCAAACACGGGUGCAUUAACAUUUUAAGAUGAGCUGCAGGGGUUUACCUCUUUUCACUUCAAUGAUCAACAAAAUAUGUAAUUUGCCCGGAGGGUGUUGGAUGUUAUACACAGAUGCAAGAAGGGAUUGUAUUAUGCAUUCAGGUGUCACAUAGGCUUUUUUUAGUGCUGUUUCCUUAAGGCUGAUUUCAUCCACAGGGCGAUAUGAUUCACCUUUCAGGUACUAAAUAACACCUUGUGGAAUAACAUGCGUGUUGUGUUCAGUUCUGCUCAAAUAUGAAGCUCUGUGACUGAGACACUAAUCAUUUAGAGUGUUAGAAAAAAUGGUUUUAUGUGAGUUUGAGAACUAAACAGUGCAAAAUUCUUUAGUUUUAUGUUCAGAAAACAGUUCUGGUUUCAUAGAAACUUUCAGUGUACUUGCUGCUUAAGGUCAAAAGCAUUUCAGCCUUAAUGGAAAGUGUUUCUCUUUCCAGGCUGAUCCAAGCAUCCCAGACAAGGUACUAGGUGUCCACAUCUUCUGAUCGAUGCUUACAUCACUACUACUACCAUUUACUGAUAAUAAUAAUAGCACUGAUGAUAAUAAUGAUGAGGAGGGAAACUGUCAGUGGUCUGUGUUCAUCCAGGUGGAGAUGUGGAUCUAAGUGCAGGACUCAGAGACGGAAAUGUAACUGAAAACCUCUUUAUUGCUGGCACCAAACAUGAAAACACAAACUGGACCAUACAGGCAGGAUCUGAGGGUACGACGCAGCACUGAGCACAGGAAGACACAGGGCUAAUAUACACAGGGAGGUAAUCAGGGAAUGGAAGACAGGAGGGAGACACAGCU
This is a long non-coding RNA of Haplochromis burtoni (Burton's mouthbrooder), 2490 nucleotides long. RefSeq lists it as uncharacterized. Lineage: Eukaryota; Metazoa; Chordata; Actinopteri; Cichliformes; Cichlidae. The record is from RefSeq and is a predicted model, not a curated record. The transcript has 3 exons.